This 331-nucleotide ribosomal RNA is filed under the name uncultured fungus. Its description in RNAcentral is "eukaryotic LSU rRNA". The stretch from base 1 to 115 matches the Rfam family "5.8S ribosomal RNA", at positions 42 to 154 of the family's 154-position model. The record is from RNAcentral. Lineage: Eukaryota; Fungi.
AACGCAGCGAAGGGCGAUAAGUAAUGUGAAUUGCAGAAUUCAGUGAAUCAUCGAAUCUUUGAACGCACAUUGCGCCCCCCUGGUAUUCCGGGGGGGCAUGCCCGUUCGAGCGUCCCUACGCCCUCAAGCCUGGCUUGGUUUUGAGCGUCGGCAUGGCGCCGCGCUGUAAUCCGUUAGCGGGACGCGCCGUAUUUCCUUGCGACUUGGUAACCCCAGUGGUCCCCCGCGGCCACCGCUUGGAUCCGGCCGUCUGCUGCUCCCUGUUACUCAUCGGUGACUCGGACCGAAACAGGUUGACCUCGAAUCGGGUAGGGAUACCCGCUGAACUUAA